This 213-nucleotide long non-coding RNA is filed under the name Lathyrus oleraceus (garden pea). RNAcentral's name for it is "Pisum sativum (pea) long non-coding RNA (PSAT_LNC028117)". Lineage: Eukaryota; Viridiplantae; Streptophyta; Magnoliopsida; Fabales; Fabaceae. The record is from RNAcentral.
UUUUUUUAACAAGAUUUGGUUAUGGGGAAGAUGAUAAAGUAUAUAGAGUUUGAGGAAAGAAAGUCUAGGACUAGGGACAUUGGGAAAGUGUGAAAACAUAGGUAUUAUCUGAACACCUUAAGUCUCAUGGAGUAACGGCGCGAGUCCAACGUGUAGAUUCGUCCCGAAGUGGACCAACAAACGCCAAAGUGCGUAAAUUCAUUGAAAAAGAAA